CGAAGGGCUGGAGACUCGGACAUGCGAAGGGCAUCUUCUCUGACGUGGGUGGUGAAAGUCGCGCGCCGACUAGGGCAUAAGGGGGCCCUGGGCAGGAGGCGCGUUCCGAACGGUUCGGGGCUAUACAAGCGACCCGCUGGGGCGCGCCCCUGAGAAGAGGAGGCUGCUAAGGGCGCGCGCCCGCCGGAGGAAAGGAAUCUUCCCGCGCAAACCCCCAAAGAGCGAGUCUCCGGUGCCGCAUUUCAGAUAUUCCUGAUGAGUCUGAGAUUCCGUAGAACACUAGCAAAAAUAACAGAGAAACCUUCAAGACCACCUUCUUUAAGAUAGACCACCUGGUAUGAGAGGAGACCACUUUUUGUCAUCUGGUCCCUAAUAUAUUCUUGUUUUUAUUUUUGAAAAUGUAAAUACAGUGUUUUAGAGAGACCAUUUGUAUGAGAGGUCACUGUUACCUGGUCCCCGUGGGUGGCCUGUGUGGAUAUAUUUCUUUGCACUGAAAAUUAACAUGUCAGUAAAAAGCACCAGUUUGCUAAUGAACUGGGGAAAAACAGGGCAAAAAUGUCCUUAGGAACUUUGGGGUGGGAGCUAUUUAUAAUCCUUAUAUUCCAAAGUCCCAUGGAAAGUACUCCUAAAAGAAAACACAAUGAAAUAAAAAAGAGCAAAUGUAUUGCCAUAAUAAUAUUAAUAACAGAAAGAAAAGUGAUAUUAACAUUAUCAAACUAUAAAUAUAACUUUUUUCAUUAAAAACAAAAGGCACACCGCCUGCAGUUCUGGUCAGGUUCUUACACCCCGAAAAGUAAAAACUACAAAUAAAAGAAAUUAACCCCUUCAUUAACCUGAAGAUAUUUCUCUCCUUUGCUAAUACAUUUAUUGCACAAUCUGUGUGACUGAUAUACUUCUUAAGGAAAUUUUGCAUCACAUAUUCUUUAAAUGAUAUUUCCUGUCCCCUUCAUCCUUGAAUUAUUUUGGAAGUAGACUUUCUCUGUAAAGGUUCUGCAUAAGGAUGAGAAGAGGUGGAUACUGUAUAAGAUCUCAUAGUCAAUAUGACCUAUCAUUUGUUUAAAGCUUUUGCUGCCUGAUAAAGGUUCUUCAUCAGGGUGGAUUUAAUGCACUGGGACUGCCUAGAGGCAAAUUAGGAUAAUCACAAGUGUGCCUUUCCUGUGGGCAUUCCAGUAUUCCAUACAAUUUCCCCUACAAUGACAAACGUUGACAGGUUUGUGUUCUCAUUAGUUUUUUCAGGACCUGCUCUCUGUUCAGACUAAUAUUGCCAUACUUGGUACAUCCCUGUUUAUGAAGUUAUCCUGAGACAUAGGAGCUAGAGUUCGGACCAGAGCGGGAAGCAUCUUCUUCUGCCCUUCAAAUUACAAUAAAUCUGUGUAAAACCCCUUAAUAUCUUGUAACUGUUAGAAAUUGCACCACUGUGAUCCUUCCUUUCAAUCUUGGAAUACUUCUGUUG
Molecule: long non-coding RNA, 1453 nt
Organism: Gopherus evgoodei (Goodes thornscrub tortoise)
Lineage: Eukaryota; Metazoa; Chordata; Testudines; Testudinidae
Exons: 3
Source: RefSeq, a predicted model, not a curated record